This 254-nucleotide ribosomal RNA is filed under the name uncultured bacterium. RNAcentral describes it as "partial 16S ribosomal RNA". It matches the Rfam family "Bacterial small subunit ribosomal RNA", at positions 1247 to 1500 of the family's 1533-position model. The record is from RNAcentral.
AAGCGAACAUGUGAGUGCAAGCGAAUCCCAAAAAUAACGUCUCAGUUCGGAUUGUAGUCUGCAACUCGACUACAUGAAGCUGGAAUCGCUAGUAAUCGCGAAUCAGAAUGUCGCGGUGAAUACGUUCCCGGGUCUUGUACACACCGCCCGUCACACCAUGGGAGUCAGUAACGCCCGAAGCCGGUGACCUAACCGAAAGGGAGGAGCCGUCGAAGGUGGGACCGAUAACUGGGGUGAAGUCGUAACAAGGUACC